UCUCAUUUUUACCCAUUUGAGAAACGUC
Molecule: non-coding RNA, 28 nt
Filed under: Rattus norvegicus (Norway rat)
Lineage: Eukaryota; Metazoa; Chordata; Mammalia; Rodentia; Muridae
Source: RNAcentral